Stylophora pistillata is the source of this 1682-nucleotide long non-coding RNA. Lineage: Eukaryota; Metazoa; Cnidaria; Anthozoa; Scleractinia; Pocilloporidae. The record is from RefSeq and is a predicted model, not a curated record.
GGGAAAUGUUAAUCUUGCGUGUAUCAGCACCUCGACAACAUGGGAAUAGUUGGGAUUGCGGUCAAUUACUUUGGCAACCUUUAAAGCUCUGCGGUGGAGAGAAACUGCAAAAACCGAGCCCUUGUCGUGUCAUGUCAGUUCUUGGGAAGAAUCAGUGAACCUCCACAAGGUGACACCUGCCUGAUCACGCAAAAACAGCUGUGCAAAGAUAUAAAGUGUUUCGACAGAGCACCAUAUCAAUCUUGAAGUUAACACAACGUGAAUCAAUAUAAAGUGAAAAUCAUGUUUUCUUUUCUUAGAAGACGAACUCUCUCUCAGGCGCGUCUUAUUUUGCGCUUUGAAUCACUACAAUUAACCAAUACUGCAUCACUUUCGAGCCACAUUAAACAAGAACCGACCUCCACAAGUAUCGGAAUUACAAAGGUAAUGAUUGUGAUGAUUCCUGGGAUUUACUUUGGUGGACGGCUGGGAAGAAACUUGGCCGAGUUUUUAGACGAGUGGAGUAUAUUCAUUGCCGAAGAUGACGAUGAAGAUGACUAGGAAGUCUACCACGCUCAUGCCAGUGAUGUGAAGUGGUAACUACACUGUACCUGAACUUUAGCAAAUAUAUAUUAUUUUUUAAUAUGUGAAGAGAUUCUCACAAGAUUGAUUUUUAAAAACUGUAAUAUUUUAUAAAAUCAAAUCUGUAUCAGCUGUUUAUUUUUAAAAGAAAUUCCAUGCAAAGGGUGUCAAAGACUUAAUAUUCAUGGUAAUUUUAUUUUCUCUUUAACUCCACUGUAUACUUAAAAAUUAAGACUUAAUUUUAGUUUUUGUGGAUAGUAUUAAGUAUUAUUUGUGGUGUAGUUUUUGCUACCAGUGUUGUCUAAUAUGCUAUAUCAUUAUUUAACCCAUCUGGCACUGUGCACGCAAUUCCAUAGAAAACCAUAAUGAAAGCUGAUGUGUGUAGGGCUGAACAGGCUAGCAUGAGCUGGUCCUGAAAAAGUUGUCAGGCCUUGCACUCACACAGCUCUUUUGCAUUUUCUGAAAAUGUAAAUUGAAAUGUGGACUUCAACUUGAAAUAACGCAAAAGAGAAAAUGAGUUGCGCUUCUCAAUGAAUUAUCAGUUUCUUGUUCUGACUUAGAGCACAAAAAGCAAAAGUUUUUAUUAUAGAAUCUUCUCUAUCGUUGUCCAAUGUGCUCCUUUCUUUUGAGUACAUGUACAUCCUAUCUACUUUGAAAAAAAAAGUUCAUAAUUUUCAGCUUUUACUGGUCAUGCCUAUUGACUGAAUUUGGUUGGGACAGUUGGGGAAAUAUUUGGCUUUUAGUCAUGACACAUGGACCCUGUUGCCCUUGCUCAGUAUGUCAUGACCUCAAGCCAAAUAUUUUCCCACCAGCUCUCCGACACAGUCAAGUACACAAAGGUAACUGUCUUAUUAUUGUGAGGGGCAUGAUUACAAAAGCGGAGGAUUGAGUUUUUUUUCUAUGACAUUGUCCCCUUUGUAGUCCCUGGGGAUUAUUAGCCACCUAGUGUCUAGAUGUUGUUGGAUAAAUGUUGAAUAUUAAUACCAGUUUAAUUAGUGACUUUAUCAUUGUAAAAGACAUAUUUUAACUUACACUUGAAACAUGUUUCACAUUGAAAAGAGAUAUAUUGAUUAUAGUGUGAAUGGUUGUUAUCCAAUAACAAUUUCCUUGCGAACACUCCA